RNAcentral lists this ribosomal RNA (490 nucleotides) under uncultured bacterium. Its description in RNAcentral is "bacterial SSU rRNA". It matches the Rfam family "Bacterial small subunit ribosomal RNA", at positions 29 to 533 of the family's 1533-position model. The record is from RNAcentral.
AUUGAACGCUGGCGGCAUGCCUUACACAUGCAAGUCGAACGGCAGCAUGGGUGCUUGCACCUGAUGGCGAGUGGCGAACGGGUGAGUAAUGCAUCGGAACGUACCCGGAAGUGGGGGAUAACGUAGCGAAAGUUACGCUAAUACCGCAUAUUCUGUGAGCAGGAAAGCGGGGGAUCGCAAGACCUCGCGCUUCCGGAGCGGCCGAUGUCGGAUUAGCUAGUUGGCGGGGUAAAGGCCCACCAAGGCAACGAUCCGUAGCGGGUCUGAGAGGAUGAUCCGCCACACUGGGACUGAGACACGGUCCAGACUCCUACGGGAGGCAGCAGUGGGGAAUUUUGCGCAAUGGGCGAAAGCCUGACGCAGCGACGCCGCGUGGGUGAUGAAGUUCUUCGGAACGUAAAGCCCUGUCAGGAGGGACGAAGCUCUGACGGUACCUCCAAAGGAAGCCCCGGCUAACUCCGUGCCAGCAGCCGCGGUAAAAUGUAGUCGU